AGAGUUUGAUCCUGGCUCAGGGUGAACGCUAGCUACAGGCUUAACACAUGCAAGUCGAGGGGAAACGACAUCGAAAGCUUGCUUUUGAUGGGCGUCGACCGGCGCACGGGUGAGUAACGCGUAUCCAACCUGCCCACCACUUGGGGAUAACCUUGCGAAAGUAAGACUAAUACCCAAUGAUAUCUCUAGAAGACAUCUGAAAGAGAUUAAAGAUUUAUCGGUGAUGGAUGGGGAUGCGUCUGAUUAGCUUGUUGGCGGGGUAACGGCCCACCAAGGCGACGAUCAGUAGGGGUUCUGAGAGGAAGGUCCCCCACAUUGGAACUGGAGACACGGUCCAAACUCCGUACGGGAGGCA
This 355-nucleotide ribosomal RNA is filed under the name uncultured bacterium. Its description in RNAcentral is "bacterial SSU rRNA". It matches the Rfam family "Bacterial small subunit ribosomal RNA", at positions 8 to 350 of the family's 1533-position model. The record is from RNAcentral.